Molecule: long non-coding RNA, 207 nt
Filed under: Elaeis guineensis (African oil palm)
Lineage: Eukaryota; Viridiplantae; Streptophyta; Magnoliopsida; Arecales; Arecaceae
Description: long non-coding RNA (EGUI_LNC056234)
Source: RNAcentral
CAAUAUCGAGGCGACGAACCGGGUGAGGAGGGAUGCCGUCCAGGUGGAGGAGCGUUGCCGGGCCGAGGUCGCUCGCCUCAAAGAAAAGGCAGCCGAAGUAGCCGUCCUCCAAGAGGCCCUGGAGAGAGAGAAACAAGCCUGGGAGGAGGAAAAACAGACCUUGGAGGAGACGGUGAGAAAGGCGGAGGCUGAGGUUGCCAAUUUGGC